UAACGCGAAGAACCUUACCCGGGCUUGAAAUGUACUCGACAGGACCCAGAGACGGGUCCCUCCUUCGGGCGAGUAUGUAGGUGCUGCAUGGUUGUCGUCAGCUCGUGCCGUGAGGUGUCGGCUUAAGUGCCAUAACGAGCGCAACCCUUCCCGCCGGUUACCAUCAUUCAGUUGGGGACUCCGGCGGCACUGCCAUCGCAAGAUGUGAGGAAGGCGGGGAUGACGUCAAAUCAGCACGGCCCUUACGUCCGGGGCCACACACGUGUUACAAUGGGGGGCACAGAGAGCUGGAUGCCGGCGACGGCAUUCGAAUCAUUAAAUCCCCUCCCAGUUCGGAUUGGAGUCUGCAACCCGACCCCAUGAAGCUGGAUUCGCUAGUAAUCGCGCAUCAGCCAAGGCGCGGUGAAUACGUUCCCGGGUCUUGUACACACCGA
This 434-nucleotide ribosomal RNA is filed under the name uncultured rumen bacterium. RNAcentral's name for it is "bacterial SSU rRNA". It matches the Rfam family "Bacterial small subunit ribosomal RNA", at positions 957 to 1393 of the family's 1533-position model. The record is from RNAcentral.